Molecule: ribosomal RNA, 1078 nt
Filed under: Candidatus Phytoplasma mali
Lineage: Bacteria; Bacillati; Mycoplasmatota; Mollicutes; Acholeplasmatales; Acholeplasmataceae
Description: bacterial SSU rRNA
Rfam family: Bacterial small subunit ribosomal RNA
Source: RNAcentral
ACAUUAGUUAGUUGGUAAGGUAACGGCUUACCAAGACUAUGAUGUGUAGCUGGACUGAGAGGUUGAACGGCCACAUUGGGAUUGAGAUACGGCCCAAACUCCUACGGGAGGCAGCAGUAAGGAAUUUUCGGCAAUGGAGGAAACUCUGACCGAGCAACGCCGCGUGAACGAUGAAAUAUUUAGGUAUGUAAAGUUCUUUUAUUAAAGAAGAAAAAAUGAUGGAAAAAUCAUUCUGACGGUAUUUAAUGAAUAAGCCCCGGCUAACUAUGUGCCAGCAGCUGCGGUAAUACAUGGGGGGCAAGCGUUAUCCGGAUUUAUUGGGCGUAAAGGGUGUGUAGGCGGUUUAAUAAGUCUAUGGUAUAAGUUCAACGCUUAACGUUGUGAUGCUAUGGAAACUGUUUGACUAGAGUUGGAUAGAGGCAAGUGGAAUUCCAUGUGUAGCGGUAAAAUGCGUAAAUAUAUGGAGGAACACCAGUAGCGAAGGCGGCUUGCUGGGUCUUAACUGACGCUGAGGCACGAAAGCGUGGGGAGCAAACAGGAUUAGAUACCCUGGUAGUCCACGCCGUAAACGAUGAGUACUAAGUGUUGGGUUAAACCAGUGCUGAAGUUAACACAUUAAGUACUCCGCCUGAGUAGUACGUACGCAAGUAUGAAACUUAAAGGAAUUGACGGGACUCCGCACAAGCGGUGGAUCAUGUUGUUUAAUUCGAAGAUACACGAAAAACCUUACCAGGUCUUGACAUACUCUGCAAAGCUAUAGAAAUAUAGUGGAGGUUAUCAGGGAUACAGGUGGUGCAUGGUUGUCGUCAGCUCGUGUCGUGAGAUGUUGGGUUAAGUCCCGCAACGAGCGCAACCCUUAUCGCUAGUUACCAUCAUUUAGUUGGGCACUUUAGUGAGACUGCCAAUGAUAAAUUGGAGGAAGGUGGGGAUUACGUCAAAUCAUCAUGCCCCUUAUGACCUGGGCUACAAACGUGAUACAAUGGCUGUUACAAAGAGUAGCUGAAGCGUGAGUUUUUAGCAAAUCUCAAAAAAACAGUCUCAGUUCGGAUUGAAGUCUGCAACUCGACUUCAUGAAGUC